RNAcentral lists this ribosomal RNA (500 nucleotides) under Paenibacillus tundrae. RNAcentral's name for it is "bacterial SSU rRNA". It matches the Rfam family "Bacterial small subunit ribosomal RNA", at positions 136 to 622 of the family's 1533-position model. Lineage: Bacteria; Bacillati; Bacillota; Bacilli; Caryophanales; Paenibacillaceae. The record is from RNAcentral.
GUUUGGGACAACUACCGGAAACGGUAGCUAAUACCGAAUAAUUGUUUUCUUCGCCUGAAGGAAACUGGAAAGACGGAGCAAUCUGUCACUUGGGGAUGGGCCUGCGGCGCAUUAGCUAGUUGGUGAGGUAACGGCUCACCAAGGCGACGAUGCGUAGCCGACCUGAGAGGGUGAUCGGCCACACUGGGACUGAGACACGGCCCAGACUCCUACGGGAGGCAGCAGUAGGGAAUCUUCCGCAAUGGGCGAAAGCCUGACGGAGCAAUGCCGCGUGAGUGAUGAAGGUUUUCGGAUCGUAAAGCUCUGUUGCCAGGGAAGAACGCUUGGGAGAGUAACUGCUCUCAAGGUGACGGUACCUGAGAAGAAAGCCCCGGCUAACUACGUGCCAGCAGCCGCGGUAAUACGUAGGGGGCAAGCGUUGUCCGGAAUUAUUGGGCGUAAAGCGCGCGCAGGCGGUCAUUUAAGUCUGGUGUUUAAUCCCGGGGCUCAACCCCGGAUCG